UACAGAGGUCUCAAACGUUGUUCGGAAUCACUGGGCUUAAAGGGCGCGUAGGCGGGCUUGCAAGUCUGCGGUGAAAGCCUCCAGCUCAACUGGAGAAGUGCCGUGGAUACUGCGGGCCUCGAGGAGGGUAGGGGCAUCUGGAACGUUGGGUGGAGCGGUGAAAUGCGUUGAUAUCCAACGGAACUCCGGUGGCGAAGGCGAGGUGCUGGACCCUUUCUGACGCUGAGGCGCGAAAGCCAGGGGAGCGAACGGG
Molecule: ribosomal RNA, 253 nt
Filed under: uncultured bacterium
Lineage: Bacteria
Description: partial 16S ribosomal RNA
Rfam family: Bacterial small subunit ribosomal RNA
Source: RNAcentral